AACGAACGCUAGCGGCAGGCCUAAUACAUGCAAGUCGAACGGUGUCUUCGCACAUAGUGGCGCACGGGUGCGUAACACGUAUGCAACCUACCUUUCAUUGGGGGAUAGCCUUUCGAAAGGGAGAUUAAUACCGCAUAAGACAGUAGCUGGGCAUCCAGCAGCUGUUAAAGAUUUAUCGAUGUAUGCUGGGCAUGCGUCCAAUUAGCUAGUUGGUGAGGUAACGGCUCACCAAGGCAAUGAUUGGUAGGGGAACUGAGAGGUCAAUCCCCCACACUGGCACUGAGAUACGGGCCAGACUCCUACGGGAGGCAGCAGUAGGGAAUAUUGGGCAAUGGACGCAAGUCUGACCCAGCCAUGCCGCGUGCAGGAUGAAGGCGUUAUGCGUUGUAAACUGCUUUUAUACAGGAAGAAACGACUCUUGCGAGAGGCAUUGACGGUACUGUAUGAAUAAGCACCGGCUAACUCCGUGCCAGCCGCCGCCGUAA
Molecule: ribosomal RNA, 485 nt
Filed under: uncultured bacterium
Lineage: Bacteria
Description: partial 16S ribosomal RNA
Rfam family: Bacterial small subunit ribosomal RNA
Source: RNAcentral